AGCCGCGGUAAUACAUAGGGUGCAAGCGUUGUCCGGAAUUAUUGGGCGUAAAGAGCUCGUAGGUCGUUUGCCACGUCGGAUGUGAAAACCUGAGGCUCAACCUCAGGCCUGCAUUCGAUACGAGCAAACUAGAGUUUGGUAGGGGAGACUGGAAUUCCUGGUGUAGCGGUGGAAUGCGCAGAUAUCAGGAGGAACACCAACGGCGAAGGCAGGUCUCUGGGCCAAUACUGACACUGAGGAGCGAAAGUCUGGGGAGCGAACAGGAUUAGAUACCCUGGUAGUCCAGACCGUAAACGGUGGGCACUAGUUGUGGGAACCUUCCACGGUUUCUGCGACGCAGCUAACGCAUUAAGUGCCCCGCCUGGGGAGUACGAUCGCAAGAUUAAAACUCAAAGGAAUUGACGGGGCCCCGCACAAGCAGCGGAGCAUGCGGCUCANUUCGACGCAACGCGAAGAACCUUACCAAGGCUUGACAUAUAGGGAAAAGUGGCAGAGAUGCCAUGUCCGCAAGGGCCCUAUACAGGUGGUGCAUGGUUGUCGUCAGCUCGUGUCGUGAGAUGUUGGGUUAAGUCCCGCAACGAGCGCAACCCUCGUUCUGUGUUGCCNGCAUUUAGUUGGGGACUCACAGGAGACUGCCGGGGUUAACUCGGAGGAAGGUGAGGAUGACGUCAAAUCAUCAUGCCCCUUAUGUCUUGGGCUGCACGCAUGCUAC
This 712-nucleotide ribosomal RNA is filed under the name uncultured bacterium. RNAcentral describes it as "bacterial SSU rRNA". It matches the Rfam family "Bacterial small subunit ribosomal RNA", at positions 513 to 1228 of the family's 1533-position model. The record is from RNAcentral.